RNAcentral lists this ribosomal RNA (446 nucleotides) under uncultured bacterium. Its description in RNAcentral is "bacterial SSU rRNA". It matches the Rfam family "Bacterial small subunit ribosomal RNA", at positions 8 to 452 of the family's 1533-position model. The record is from RNAcentral.
AGAGUUUGAUCAUGGCUCAGGACGAACGCUGGCGGCGGGCUUCAUACAUGCAAGUCGAACGAGAAAGCGUCCUUCGGGGCGCGAGUACAGUGGCGCACGGGUGAGUAACGCGUAGGCAACCUGCCCUCAAGUGGGGAAUAACUAUCGGAAACGGUAGCUAAUACCGCAUGAAGUCCUGUGCUGCAUGGCACAGGAUGAAAGUAUUGGCGCUUGAGGAUGGGCCUGCGUCGGAUUACGCUGGUAGGUAGGGUAACGGCCUACCUAGGCUACGAUCCGUAGCUGGUCUGAGAGGACGACCAGUCACACUGGCACUGAGACACGGGCCAGACUUCUACGGGAGGCAGCAGUAGGGAAUCUUGGGCAAUGGGCGCAAGCCUGACCCAGCCACGCCGCGUGGAGGAAGACACCCCUAUGGGGCGUAAACUCCUUUUGUACGGGAAGAACGC